ACGAACGCUGGCGGCAGGCCUAACACAUGCAAGUCGAGCGCACCUUCGGGUGAGCGGCGGACGGGUUAGUAACGCGUGGGAACGUACCCUUUUCUACGGAAUAGCCUUUGGAAACGAAGAGUAAUACCGUAUACGCCCUUUGGGGGAAAGAUUUAUCGGAGAAGGAUCGGCCCGCGUUAGAUUAGAUAGUUGGUGGGGUAACGGCCUACCAAGUCUACGAUCUAUAGCUGGUUUUAGAGGAUGAUCAGCAACACUGGGACUGAGACACGGCCCAGACUCCUACGGGAGGCAGCAGUGGGGAAUCUUAGACAAUGGGCGCAAGCCUGAUCUAGCCAUGCCGCGUGAGUGAUGAAGGCCUUAGGGUCGUAAAGCUCUUUCGCCUGUGAUGAUAAUGACAGUAGCAGGUAAAGAAACCCCGGCUAACUCCGUGCCAGCAGCCGCGGUAAUACGGAGGGGGUUAGCGUUGUUCGGAAUUACUGGGCGUAAAGCGCACGUAGGCGGAUUGGAAAGUUGGGGGUGAAAUCCCGGGGCUCAACCCCGGAACUGCCUCCAAAACUAUCAGUCUAGAGUUCGAGAGAGGUGAGUGGAAUUCCAAGUGUAGAGGUGAAAUUCGUAGAUAUUUGGAGGAACACCAGUGGCGAAGGCGGCUCACUGGCUCGAUACUGACGCUGAGGUGCGAAAGUGUGGGGAG
Molecule: ribosomal RNA, 691 nt
Filed under: uncultured Alphaproteobacteria bacterium
Lineage: Bacteria; Pseudomonadati; Pseudomonadota; Alphaproteobacteria
Description: bacterial SSU rRNA
Rfam family: Bacterial small subunit ribosomal RNA
Source: RNAcentral